CGCUCUUUGUUAGUUAGAAAUAAAGAGUCGUACCUGCCCAGUGGAUUAUUUUAACGGCCGCAGUACCCUGACUGUGCUAAGGUAGCAUAAUCAUUUGCCUUUUAAUUGAUGGCUAGAAUGAAUGGUGUGACGAGAAUUUAACUGUCUCUUAUUAUAUUAUUUGGAAAUUAUUUUUUAGGUGAAGAAGCCUAGAUUUAGUUAAAAGACGAAAAGACCCUGUCGAGCUUAAAAACUAAAUUUAAAUUUUUAUCUUGUAGAAUAACAUUGUUUUUGAUUUAAAAUUUUUGUUGGGGCGACAGAAGAACAAAAGAAGCUUCUUUUAAUUUUUUAAACUUAUUAAUUUCUUUUAUCUAUUAUUAAUAAAUUAAAAAAAGUUACCGCAGGGAUAACAGCGUUAUUUUUCCGGAAAGUUCGAAUUAAAGGAAAAGAUUGCGACCUCGAUGUUGGAUUAGAAAACCAAGUAGGUGAAGAAGCUUACUAUAGGAGGUCUGUUCGACCUGUAAUUUUCUACA
RNAcentral lists this ribosomal RNA (512 nucleotides) under Chaetopleura apiculata. Its description in RNAcentral is "partial 16S ribosomal RNA". It matches the Rfam family "Bacterial large subunit ribosomal RNA", at positions 1816 to 2600 of the family's 2925-position model. Lineage: Eukaryota; Metazoa; Mollusca; Polyplacophora; Chitonida; Chaetopleuridae. The record is from RNAcentral.